GGGCGGAUAGCUCAGUCGGAAGAGCAGGAGCUUUACAAGCUCCGGGUCGCAGGUUCGAGCCCUGUUCCGCCCACC
RNAcentral lists this transfer RNA (75 nucleotides) under Deltaproteobacteria bacterium. RNAcentral's name for it is "tRNA-Val". It matches the Rfam family "tRNA". From Rfam's summary of the family: Transfer RNA (tRNA) molecules are approximately 80 nucleotides in length. Their secondary structure includes four short double-helical elements and three loops (D, anti-codon, and T loops). Further hydrogen bonds mediate the characteristic L-shaped molecular structure. tRNAs have two regions of fundamental functional importance: the anti-codon, which is responsible for specific mRNA codon recognition, and the 3' end, to which the tRNAs corresponding amino acid is attached (by aminoacyl-tRNA synthetases). tRNAs cope with the degeneracy of the genetic code in two manners: having more than one tRNA (with a specific anti-codon) for a particular amino acid; and 'wobble' base-pairing, i.e. permitting non-standard base-pairing at the 3rd anti-codon position. The record is from RNAcentral. Lineage: Bacteria; Pseudomonadati; Myxococcota; Myxococcia.